CAGAAAAAUCCCAGUCAUCCUUCAGCUUUAUCCCCAGAGAUACACCAGCCCUUCCCUGGUGCAUGCAACACAUGCCUUCUCAAAGCUCCCCCUGUGCUCUCCUGCUUGCACUGACACUUGGCCUUGGUCACUGUUAAGCUCCCAGCUUGGUGCCACUCACUGCUCCUGGCUAUGAGGAUCUGCCUUGCCUCCUACUGGGGAUGGCAAGGACCACAGCUGACACUUCUUUUGCUUUCAAAUGUCCAUCAGUGUUGAGGGUGAUUUAAUCUAUCCAUGCAUCCCUAUGUUCAAUAGAGAUUAUUAUCACUAUGCAAUUUGGAUGCUUACACUAAAGCCAGAGACCCAAAGCCAGGUUAUCUUGUCCACAAUUUAGAAGUAAUUUUUAGCAAGUUUGUGAAUUUACUUUUCUGUCAUUAAGUGGAACAUGUAUUCAUUUAAACAAAGAUAUUUUUAGCUUAUUCUAGUUAUGAACAACUGUCAAGCAGGUCUCAAAACACAAAAAUACAUGGAAAUGUCAUAAUUCUACUUUCUGGCUGAGGCCUGAAUUUAGUUAUUCUGUUCACAGAAUUGCAGUUCUCAGGAGUGAACAAGGUUUAACUGAACCUAACAAGUGAUCAUUCUUUACAGCUGAACUUCUGGUAGGGCUAGGAUAGGCAUAAUUAGCCAUAGCAUGUCCCUUUUGAGCAAGGCCAUUUACUGAAAGAUGUUUUCCUCAGUUCCCAUCUUGCCCUCUCCACCAUUGCUAGGUCGUGUAUGUACCAAAGACCUUCUGGAGGCAGUGACUCUACCAGAGGGAGCCCCAGCUUUGGCACAAGGGGAAGUGUCUUCUCCCCUCUUAUAUUAGGCUGAGUCUAACAUUGGCUAAGGGCACCAGACCAUAGUGUGAGUUUGACUCUACCCUAAGAUGGACUCUAAAUUCUUCCAGCCCAUGCUGAGUCUUCAUGUCUAGACAUUUUGCUAUUUCUAGACCAGGGAACUUGGCAAAGAUGGCAUAUGCUUUUUUUGUUUGUUUGUUUGUUUUUGGACUUGGCUGCAGAACUCUCUCUCAGGUAGCCAUAGGGUUGGGGUUGGUGCUGAGGAUGGGCUGUUCAUUCAGAGUGAGAAGGACAAGGCUUCCCCUGCCCCAGAUCAGCACUGUGCAGGAUAACUUUCCGAGAUGAUGGAAUAGUCUGUAUCUGUGCUGUCUAAUACAGUGGGUCCUAGCCACGUGUGGCUAUCAAGCACCUGAGAUGUGGCUAGAGAGGUUGAGGAACUCAAUUUUUAACUAAUCUACAUCUAAAUUUAUAUAGCCACAUGGGGCUAGAGGCUCCUGUGUUAGUGCAGUUCUAGAUCGAUUAAUGCUAUUUUAUACUGUUAUUUUUCAUGGGUAGUUCUAAUGAAUCUUUGAUUUUUUCCUUCUGAAUUAUUUCCAGGUGCUCCCUUUAGUUUUCUGGCAAGAAGCUAGGGAGAAGGUGACUUGAGCUCCUCGUGUGUUUUGAUCACUCAACAAAGAAGACAAAAGGGCGUUUCAUAACCUGACAGUGGGAGAGCACAUUAAAAAGGAGCUGAGCUGACCUUUGCACUGUCUAUGAAGAAUGAGUUUCCUAAACUCAUCAUAGCAACAAGAUAUAACGGGGGUUAUUAAGCCACUAAAACUUUUUCUGAAUUCAUAUGCACUUUUUCCCAAAUAGAAUGCUGACGACAAAUAAUUUUAUCAAUCAUUAAAGAAGAUCCCUUCAGAACCUCUCCAGGGAAAUACUUGUAGCUUAGUUCUGGUUAGCACGUAAUGCCACAAGAAUCUGGCAUCAUUUAGACCAGCCAUUUAUUCAGAUAUCAAGAGCAAGAGACUGUAACUGAUUCCCUGACCUCUGACUAAAAACAAAUAUAAACAGUUCUGUGGACUAAAUGUUGUUUAUCCUGGGAAGGAUGUGGUUUUAUCACUGUUGCCCACAGUAACUGGUCAGCCCCUGUGUCUCAGAAGGGAGCUGAGAAGGCUUGAAAGGGUACACCUAC
RNAcentral lists this long non-coding RNA (1992 nucleotides) under Homo sapiens (human). RNAcentral describes it as "HSALNT0394152". Lineage: Eukaryota; Metazoa; Chordata; Mammalia; Primates; Hominidae. The record is from RNAcentral.